GUGAUCCACCCGUCUCGGCCUCCCAAAGUGCUGGGAUUACAGGCGUGAGCUACCACGCUCGGCGUGUAGCUCGUGUUAUUAACGGACAAGCAAACGCCCCUGCCCGUACACGUUCCUGAGGGAUAACAGUAAGUUACAAAAGUGCUUCUGCUCUACUCCUGGAAGCAAGGUCGGAGUGCCCGCGGGCGUGGGCGCGGUGGAAAAGAGGGAGAACCCAGGCCUCCGUAACCAUGGCUGCGAGGGGCGGGGACUGGGAGCGCGGGUCCCGGGCCGGGGUGCGGGCUGGGAGGACUCGGUCCUCCACUGUCCCAGCGGGCCACGCGCCCGCGUGUCGCCUCCCGUCCCGCUAGCAGCACGCUGCGUGGCUGCUUGUUGGCUGCUUAAGACGGAAGCUCGGUUGAUGUUUCUGCAGAAGUUUCCCCCUUGGGCGGUGGCGGAGCUGAAGAGCGCGAUAGAAGCAGCUCCGGCCGCAGCAACAGUGACUACGAGGGAUGGCGGCGGCUGCCGCAGGACCUGCAGCAUCCCAGAGGUUUUUCCAGAGCUUCUCAGAUGCUCUAAUCGACCAGGACCCCCAGGCGGCGUUAGAGAAAUGAAAAAUUUGUUUAUGGAUACAUUUACACUAUUAUCUAUUUUAAUUUCAACGACUGAAUUAAAAGGUGUCAAGAAGCUCAGAAUGAAUAGAUAUGUUGGAUAUUUUGCACAAGUGAAACAUCUCUACAACUGGAAUCUCCCUCCAAGAAGGAUACUCUUUAUAAAAGGAUUCAUUAUUUAUUCGAUUCAUGGUGUUGGAGCAGGUGAUGGAUCUGAUCUAAAAGUCAAAAUAGUAAUAGAGAAAAAGGUUGUCUUUUCCUGUACUUAUUUGAGAAAUUGUUAGGUAUUUCAUGACACUGAAAUAGUGCAAUAAUUGAUGUAUUCAACAGUCCACCUCUUUAUGAUGAUGUGAAAGUGCAAUUUUUCUCUUUGCUCUUGGAUCAUUUUACUGGAAUCCUUGGAUUAGUUUUCAACUUUCUUCUGAAUAUUGAUGAGCCUCCCUGGCAUCCAGAUCCUGUAUUCUACAUCUGUCAUUUCAGCCAUUUCCAACUGGUUAAGAACCACUGCUAGGGAGCUAGUGGACUCACCUGGAGGGAGCCUCCCCUUGCUCUGCACCAAUCCCAGGUGGACGGCUGUCCUUCCUUACUCCCCUAUGCUCUCCAUGACUCACCACUGCUUCCUUGAUGAAUCCCAACACAGCCUGCUGGAUGAUCAACCUGAAGAGCUCGUUUUCACUCACCACUCUGUCUCCUCUUGUGAGAGCUGCGCACAUUAGCUGCUUCUAGUCAGCCAUCUUGGCACUUCAGAUACUUGUUUUCUUAAGUAGAAUUUAGUAACUUGGAAUGGAAUCAUCCAAAAUUUAAGAGCAGACAGUUUAACUGUUUUUUAAAAUAGAGGGAAAGAGGUGGAGGGAGAAAGUAAUUCUAGUAAGCCAAGUUCCGUAACUUCAGAGCAUAGAAAUGUUUUUGUCACCUUACCUAUAAAGAAAUUAUUUUACAUCAGGUGUCUUGCUGACAGAAAACAAUGCUUGUUGCAAUAAAACCACUGCCUUGAAACACUACUAUACAUAACUCUUUAACAUUCCUGACAGUUGUUUCCCAACAGGGAUGUAAAGAACUUCAAUGAAAUUCAUCAGACUCAAAUAUUAAGUAAAUAAUUUAAUGAUAGAACACUGAAAUUUCUUUAGACACAGAAUUUUCAAGUUAUAUUUCUGCCUGGAGUACAGAUAUGAAAUAGCACAAACUACUCUGAAUUAAGCAAACAGAAUGAAUAAAAAAAAAAUUCUCCAAAUCUAAGCUUCCAUUCCUCACUCCCACUUGCCUCAGACUCUUUCUAUUGAAGAUAUCUAGUUAAAUCUCUAAUGGACGGCCUGUGGGAAGAUUUACUGCCAACAGGGACGACUGACUUGUUUCCGGGCACUGAGCAGGGGACUGUGGGCUCUGAAGCAGUUUACUUCCUGUGGAAAGCCAGUCCCGUUUCUAUUUUACUUCAAUCCAGGCCUAUUCAGAUAAAGCACCACUCAGUAGCUACUGACCAUUUAAGUACGGAGAGAAAAGCAAAGUAGAAAAAUGGUUUUCACUUAAAGAAAAAGCAAAUGGAAGACCAGCCAUAAAAGCUCCACGGCACAAGAGACAUGACAGGGAUCUCCUCCCCAGAUGUCCCCUGCUGUUUGUCAGCCUCUCAUAUCCCUGGCCCUCUGGCUUCUGGCUCUAUGACUACAGUUGCCACAGAGGAUUCAUGGACAGCAAAAAGCUUAAGGAACCUGGAGGUUUUGUACAACAUGUACAUUCUGCUGACAGAAACACAUACAUGGUAUGGACUAUUAUUAAAAUUGUUAGCCUGCUUGCACUCAGUAUACAGGCUGCUUAGGAACACUUUAUUGGGAGAUACCCUGCUGGUUUUGGAGCAGCACAAAAUGAUGAGGAUAACUUUAGUAGUGACAAGAAUGACCCUCUUAUACCAUAUGGCCAAAGAACAGCUGUCCAUCCCCAAGUCUAUGGGGGAUCAGAUGAAGUGUGGAGUUUGGUUGGUUGGUCAGUGAAUUUUUGGUCAGUGAAUACAUACAUAUGGCAUAGUUAAGUACAAUUGCUUUUCUUUUUUCUUUUUUUUUUAUUUUGAGACUAAGUCUCGCUGUGUCACCCAGGCUGGAGUGCAGUGGCGCAAUCUCAGUUCACUGCAACCUCUGCCUCCCGGGUUCAAGCGAUUCUCCUGCCUCAGCCUCCUGAGUAGCUGGGAUUACAGGCGUGUGCCACCACGCCCAGCUAACUUUUUUAUUUUUAGUAGAGAUGGGGUUUCGCCAUGUUGGUCAGGCUGUUCUCGAACUCCUGACCUUGUGAUCCGCCUGCCUCAGCCUCCCAAAGUGCUGGGAUUAUAGGCAUGAGCCACCGCGCCUGGCCUACAAUUGCUUUUCUUAUGUUCCAUUGCUUUAUAAGCUCAUAUCCCAUAUGCAGUCAUCAUUAAGACUUACUGACUGCCAGUACCAAAUGUAGAAGCCUCCAACACUGUAAAAGCAUGGCAAGACAGGCUUCAGGAUGGGCCAGACCUGACAUUACUCACUGUGGAGUACAAGCACUGAGUUCUUUCUAGUUCUCUCUGAGAGAGGAUUUCGCCCACUGUCACAUAAUCACCAAACAGGGAAGAAGGCUUCUCUUGGCUUUGGCUCUCACUGUUCCUUGGAAGGGUUUCUGAUUGGUGGAGGCAGAGCAGACAGUGAGUGGUCCAAAGUGGAUUGAUGGCCCCAAAUGAGCCAACAGAACACCCAGGAAUCCUACCCAGGCCAGGACCCACAGACAAAAGGUAAGAGCUGUUGCCAGCCACAUGGGUCUUCAUCAAAGCACAGCAGCACUGCCUACCACUCAGCCCCUUCCUCAAUCUAAAGCUCAAGAAGGGAAGUUCUUUGGGAGAGAAGGGAAGCUGGUAAAGGCCAUGCUAUUUCCCAAAGGCCUGACCCUCUGGGCCACCCCUAGCAAUAUAGUCAGUGUGGAAUAUGAUCCCACCUAGAAAAUGAAUGGCACUAUUUUAAGAGUAGAGCAUCUUGGGGAAAUCUAGGAUGCCUACUCUGAAGCUUUUACUCAAGUGUGGAAGCCACACCAGUAUGCAGGUAUACUGUCUUACAAAUCUAGAAGGAUAUUUUAGUUUUCCAGCACCCAUGAACACUUUUUUAAAAAUUCAACCACUGGCUGGGCAUGGUGGCUCAU
Nomascus leucogenys (northern white-cheeked gibbon) is the source of this 3728-nucleotide RNA transcript. RefSeq lists it as uncharacterized. The record is from RefSeq and is a predicted model, not a curated record. Lineage: Eukaryota; Metazoa; Chordata; Mammalia; Primates; Hylobatidae. The transcript is spliced from 9 exons.